Molecule: ribosomal RNA, 253 nt
Filed under: uncultured bacterium
Lineage: Bacteria
Description: partial 16S ribosomal RNA
Rfam family: Bacterial small subunit ribosomal RNA
Source: RNAcentral
UACGUAGGUGGCUAGCGUUGUCCGGAUUUACUGGGCGUAAAGAGCGCGCAGGCGGUCGUUCAAGUCGAGUGUGAAAGCCCCCGGCUCAACUGGGGAGGGUCACUCGAUACUGAUCGACUUGAAGGCGGGAGAGGGAAGCGGAAUUCCCGGUGUAGUGGUGAAAUGCGUAGAUAUCGGGGGGAACACCAGUGGCGAAGGCGGCUUUCUGGCCCGUUCUUGACGCUGAGGCGCGAAAGCUAGGGGAGCAAACGGG